UUGGCCCUGAAUCAAGGCCAGCAGUUUGCUGAAGCUGUUGGUUUCAGACAGGAGCCUAAAGAAUUAUCCUUCUAUGGUCUGUUGGCCAUUUCAGAACUUUGGAAAUGUAAUGGCCAAUUCAUUAGAAAGAAACAUCU
RNAcentral lists this small nucleolar RNA (137 nucleotides) under Propithecus coquereli (Coquerel's sifaka). Lineage: Eukaryota; Metazoa; Chordata; Mammalia; Primates; Indriidae. The record is from RNAcentral.